GUGGCUGACGUGACGGUGAAGCUGCAGAGCACGACGCAGGCCCUGCAGAAGGCCAAGCAGCACAUGGCUCGCCAGAUGCAGGAGUACCACGUGCUGGCCAACCUCAAGCUGGCCCUGGAUAUCGAGAUCGCCACCUACAGCAAACUGCUGGAAGGGGAGGAGAGCAGGCUGGAAUCCAGUCGGUAAACCUAGGCGUGCUGAUGCAGACAGCCGGCUAUUCGGCUGGCCGGGGCGCCAGGUCGGCCGGUCUGUUCGGUGGCUUGCAAGGGGCGGUGCCGCCGCCAGCGCCUCCCUGCUGGGAAACCGGACCGAGCAAAAUAAAA
This is a non-coding RNA of Pelodiscus sinensis (Chinese soft-shelled turtle), 323 nucleotides long. The record is from RefSeq and is a predicted model, not a curated record. Lineage: Eukaryota; Metazoa; Chordata; Testudines; Trionychidae.